Molecule: non-coding RNA, 333 nt
Filed under: Jatropha curcas
Lineage: Eukaryota; Viridiplantae; Streptophyta; Magnoliopsida; Malpighiales; Euphorbiaceae
Description: Bacterial large subunit ribosomal RNA
Rfam family: Bacterial large subunit ribosomal RNA
Source: Rfam by way of RNAcentral
AGCAAUACCUCUCUAAAGAACUCGACAAAAUAGCCCCAUAAUUUUGGAGAAGGGUGCCUCCUCAUAAAAGGGGUCCUAGUGACCAGGCUCGAGCUACUAUGUACUAAAAACAUAGGUCUCCACAAAGCCUAAAGAUCAUGUAUGGGGGCUGACACUUGCUAGUGUCGGAGGGUCAAGGAAGUUGGUGACAUGAUGACAAGGGAGCUGGCAAUCGAAGCCCCGGUGAACAACAUCCAUAGUUAUAACAUUCCUAAGGUAACAAAAUUUCUUGUCAGGUAAGCUUCGACCUGCACGAAAGGCGUAACAAUUUGGGCACUAUCUCGGAGAGAGGCU